GCUCAGGACGAACGCUGGCGGCGCGCCUAACACAUGCAAGUCGAACGGAGCUUGCACUUCUGAAGUUUUCGGAUGGACGAGGUACAAGCUUAGUGGCGAACGGGUGAGUAACACGUGAAGAACCUGCCCUUCAGUGGGGGACAACAGUUGGAAACGACUGCUAAUACCGCAUAAGACCACAGUACCGCAUGGUACAGUGAUCAAAGGAUUUAUUCGCUGAAGGAUGGCUUCGCGUCCGAUUAGGUAGUUGGUGAGGUAACGGCCCACCAAGCCUACGAUCGGUAGCCGGACUGAGAGGUUGAUCGGCCACAUUGGGACUGAGACACGGCCCAGACUCCUACGGGAGGCAGCAGUGGGGAAUAUUGCACAAUGGAGGAAACUCUGAUGCAGCGACGCCGCGUGAGGGAAGAAGGUCUUCGGAUUGUAAACCUCUGUCUUCAGGGACGAUAAUGACGGUACCUGAGGAGGAAGCACCGGCUAACUACGUGCCAGCAGCCGCGGUAAAACGUAGGGUGCAAGCGUUGUCCGGAAUUACUGGGUGUAAAGGGAGCGCAGGCGGGAAGGUAAGUUGGAUGUUUAAUCUACGGGCUCAACCCGUAUCAGCAUUCAAAACUAUUUUUCUUGAGUAGUGCAGAGGUAGGCGGAAUUCCCGGUGUAGCGGUGGAAUGCGUAGAUAUCGGGAGGAACACCAGUGGCGAAGGCGGCCUACUGGGCACUAACUGACGCUGAGGCUCGAAAGCAUGGGUAGCAAACAGGAUUAGAUACCCUGGUAGUCCAUGCCGUAAACGAUGAUUACUAGGUGUGGGAGGAUUGACCCCUUCCGUGCCGCAGUUAACACAAUAAGUAAUCCACCUGGGGAGUACGACCGCAAGGUUGAA
RNAcentral lists this ribosomal RNA (878 nucleotides) under uncultured bacterium. RNAcentral describes it as "bacterial SSU rRNA". It matches the Rfam family "Bacterial small subunit ribosomal RNA", at positions 22 to 898 of the family's 1533-position model. The record is from RNAcentral.